GGCCUAUUAGCUCAGUUGGUUAGAGCGUUAUGCUAAUAGCAUGAAAGUCACAAAUUUAAACCCUGUAUGGAUCA
Molecule: transfer RNA, 74 nt
Filed under: Glycine max (soybean)
Lineage: Eukaryota; Viridiplantae; Streptophyta; Magnoliopsida; Fabales; Fabaceae
Description: tRNA-Ile
Source: RNAcentral